GGUGGACACUGCAAAACAAAAUGGCUGACUAACACUUUGAAUUUUUUUUUCUUGCAGGCUCGUGAAAUGGUUUGGAACAAUUUUUGCAAGUCAGUCUUGACAAAUUCUUGAACAAAUGCGAUGCCUUUUUUUUCUUUGCAGGUGGGGAAAAGAAGGCAUUAAAUUGCGAGGGCGGCUUCCAGUCCAAUUGACGUGGUGGACAAUCCUGCCCCCCCCC
Hippocampus comes (tiger tail seahorse) is the source of this 217-nucleotide long non-coding RNA. RefSeq lists it as uncharacterized. The transcript has 2 exons. NCBI's taxonomy places the organism in Eukaryota, Metazoa, Chordata, Actinopteri, Syngnathiformes, Syngnathidae. The record is from RefSeq and is a predicted model, not a curated record.